UAAGGAAUAUUGGUCAAUGGACGCAAGUCUGAACCAGCCAUGCCGCGUGAAGGAUGAAGGUCCUCUGGAUUGUAAACUUCUUUUAUAGGGGGCGAAAAAAGGGAAAUCUUUCUCACUUGACAGUACCCUAUGAAUAAGCACCGGCUAACUCCGUGCCAGCAGCCGCGGUAAUACGGAGGGUGCAAGCGUUAUCCGGAUUCACUGGGUUUAAAGGGUGCGUAGGCGGGCGUAUAAGUCAGUGGUGAAAUCCUGGAGCUUAACUCCAGAACUGCCAUUGAUACUAUAUGUCUUGAAUAUGGUGGAGGUAAGCGGAAUAUGUCAUGUAGCGGUGAAAUGCAUAGAUAUGACAUAGAACACCUAUUGCGAAGGCAGCUUACUACGCCUAUAUUGACGCUGAGGCACGAAAGCGUGGGGAUCAAACAGGAUUAGAUACCCUGGUAGUCCACGCCCUAAACGAUGAUUACUCGACGUGUGCGAUAAACGGUACGCGUCUGAGCGAAAGCAUUAAGUAAUCCACCUGGGAAGUACGACCGCAAGGUUGAAACUUAAAGGAAUUGACGGGGUCAUAGCUGUUUCCUG
RNAcentral lists this ribosomal RNA (579 nucleotides) under uncultured bacterium. RNAcentral describes it as "partial 16S ribosomal RNA". It matches the Rfam family "Bacterial small subunit ribosomal RNA", at positions 355 to 1376 of the family's 1533-position model. The record is from RNAcentral.